This 253-nucleotide ribosomal RNA is filed under the name uncultured bacterium. RNAcentral describes it as "partial 16S ribosomal RNA". It matches the Rfam family "Bacterial small subunit ribosomal RNA", at positions 524 to 776 of the family's 1533-position model. The record is from RNAcentral. RNAcentral also lists the same sequence under 1 other name.
UACGGGGGGGGCAAGCGUUGUUCGGAAUUACUGGGCGUAAAGGGCGCGUAGGCGGCCUGGGAAGUUCUGGGUGAAAGCCCCCGGCUCAACCGGGGAAGUGCCUGGAAAACCACUGGGCUGGAGUGCUGGAGAGGGAAGCGGAAUUCCUGGUGUAGCGGUGAAAUGCGUAGAGAUCAGGAGGAACAUCGGCGGCGAAGGCGGCUUCCUGGACAGACACUGACGCUGAGGCGCGAAAGCCAGGGGAGCAAACAGG